ACACAGAAUCCAAAGCAGGCUCCAGGCUGUCGGCCGAGAGCCCAAUACAGGACUCAAACCCAUGAGCUGUAAGAUCAUGACCUGGGCCGAAGUCAGAUGCUUAACGGACUGAGCCACCCAGGCGUCCCUAUUGUAGUGUAUUUAAAUAUUCCUUUCUUGUUUGACAUUUAGAUUGUUUCCAGUAGAGUAUUUCCAAAGUCUCUGUCCAUGUAGAAGAAAAAGCUUGAUUGGAAGCUUAACAGAAAUAAACUUUAAAGCCCCCAAAAUAUUUCUCUAAAUUCAGAAAUGUAAUCUUAUACCCCCCCCCUAAUUUAUUAAAGCUUUCACUUGACUUCUAUGAAGGUCAUUAUUUCAUAUUAGAAAAGAUAACCUUAUUUAUGUAUGCACUCAGAAUAGAUACAGUUGUUUCCGAUAAUAGUUAUGUGAUCCAUUCUAGGGCAUAUUAUUGUUGGCAUAGAUUAAUAUCAUUGUUUAUAUUUAUAACCUUGUCUUAGCAGGUAAGCAAGUGCUUGUUACCAUGAUGAUUUCAGAGCAACUGCUGUCUGCACAAUGGAAGGUCCAAAAAGCAACUAAAAAGGGAAGGAGAAUAGCUGAAAGUUUUUUGAAAAGAACUCAUGUUUGAAGACGCUGGUGUGGAAAAUUAGAGUGGGGUUCGUCUUCAAAUUUUAGGAUAUGAAGAAACAUAUGGAACAUAAACUGAAACAAAUUUAAAUGGAGGUCCUGGAGAAGUAGUCCUUUGACUUUCAGGACAUCAUAAACAGAAGAAGGCAUUAGAAAUUUUUUCAAGAGAAAUUGCACAAGCAGGGCCUGCCUGGAAUGGUGGAAAGUAGGGCACACGAUAGUCUAUUUUUCCGAGGCACAACAUGGGGACAGGUCGACAAAAUUUUACGUCAUGCCUAUUAAGAGUUUCCAGCUUUCCGCUUUCAGUAUCUGUGCCUUCACUGCUCAAAGCCCACCUUCAGCAACCCAGUUCCACAUCUGAGAUUGCAGCACGCCAUUUCAAGCACCUGAUCUGAUGGCAGUGGGUUGAAGGUCAUCCAAAAGUGUUGCUGUCCACAUUAAUGAAGAACACGUUGAAACCUUUCACGAAGAUCUCAUUUUUACACUGGACACAUUGGCUUCACCAAAUUUACCCAAGAUAGGUGAUGACCUAAAGGAGUGGAAUUUUAAACCAGUCUGUCUGGAAGGUCCUGAUCAUUACUGGUGAGGUAAUCUUGAUAAGACCCCUGCCUUCCCCUACAGGAAGGUAACUUACCUGAAAUAAUCCAUUCUUUUAACUUCCUUAUCCUGCCCUCUUUCUGCUUAUAAAAUCCUCCAUUUUGUAUAGCCCCACAGAGCUCCUUUCUUCGUACUAGAUGGGUUGCUGCCUACUUUAUGAAUCACUGAAUAAAGCCAGCUGGAUCUUCAAAUUUAGUCAGUUGAAAUUUUUUUAACAAUUCAACUAAUAUUGUCACUAAAUCUCAUUUUUACUAUAGGUUUUACAUAAGUGGAAUUUCUUGUAAAAAUUGUUUAAUUUUGAGAGAGAAAAGAGAGAGAGCCCAUGAGCAGGGGAGGGGCAGAAGACAGAGAGAGAGAGAGAGAGAGAGAGAAUCCCAAGCAGGCUCUGCACUGUCAGUGCAGAGACCAACGUGAGGCACGAUCCUACAAACCCGUGAGAUCAUGACCUGAGCCGAGAUCAAGAAUCAGACAUGCAACCAACUGAACUACCCAGGUACUCCACAAAAUUGGAAUUUUUUAAAGCAAAUAUAUGUAUUUAUGCCUCAUAAAUGUUAAGUGUUCCUAGAGGUCUAAAGAAACAUGAGGUGUAUUCAACCUAGAGUGCUAAGAUUCCUCCAAAAAGGGAUUAUCUAAUUUUGACCAAUGAAGCUGUUCUAUGUAACUUCCAUGUCAGAACAACCACAUUCCAUAUGACCAUCUUUUAAUUUUUUUAUAUAUCUUUUCAAUUUUCUUCCAUUGGUAGAUCUACCAAGUGGCUCGCUGACAUAUCACUUAGAAGGUCUGCCUAUUACAACAAAUGGGACAAAGGUAACCCUGCAAAAUAGGUGUUUUUGCUUAAAAAAAAAAAAUUAUAUCUCUAAACUUGAUUUC
Molecule: long non-coding RNA, 2088 nt
Organism: Panthera uncia (snow leopard)
Lineage: Eukaryota; Metazoa; Chordata; Mammalia; Carnivora; Felidae
Exons: 7
Source: RefSeq, a predicted model, not a curated record